CACGAUAAAGCCGAACCCUCCGCAAGAAGGGGGCGGAAAGUCGCGGGUCUUCGCAGUGGAAGACGGCCGGACUGCCGAAG
The sequence is a regulatory RNA element, 80 nucleotides long. It matches the Rfam family "c-di-GMP-I-GGC riboswitch aptamer". The record is from Rfam.